Molecule: ribosomal RNA, 498 nt
Filed under: uncultured fungus
Lineage: Eukaryota; Fungi
Description: eukaryotic LSU rRNA
Rfam family: 5.8S ribosomal RNA (bases 111-254)
Source: RNAcentral
AACGAGUCUUCAACCCCAUGUGCACUUAUCAUUGUUUCUGGGUGUCCUGUUUAAGGCGCCCAACCUUAUAAACCUUACUAUCUGUCUGAUAUAUUUUAAAUAAUAAAAACAACUUUUGACAACGGAUCUCUUGGCUCUCGCAACGAUGAAGAACGCAGCGAAAUGCGAUACGUAGUGUGAAUUGCAGAAUUUGUGAAUCAUCGAAUCUUUGAACGCACCUUGCACUCCUUUGGAGUAUGCCUGUUUGACAAUCAUUUGAUUUCUUCUCCCUAAAUGGGUGAGAUUUGAGCUCUUUGACUUAGUCAAUGGCUUUAAAUGAAUUGCUUGGUUAUUAACGUCAUAUUGUGACUCACCAAAGUGUAUGAAGGGUUCGCCCACUUCCUUUAGUGUUAGCAGUAGUUAAUUAGCUAUGCCUACCUGCAGUUUCGGCUGCAACUAAGUUAGGCAACUAGCUUGAACUUUGGUGUCAAAUCAGGUAGGAAGACCCGCUGAACUUAA